ACGCAAUUCUUUUCAUCCACCACUGUCGCAUAUGUAUAAAACGAAGCGUUCGUUGGAGCAGUUCAGGCAAUACCAGACAAGGAAGCGAGGACGUCAACAACAGCUGCUUGAUUCACCUGAACGACGUUCACGGCCGAAAAGUGGAAAUCCACACACAGAACCUGCAACGACAAGAGCCUAACGAAGUGUGAAAACACAGUAUCAUACCACCGAUCAAAGCAAUCUUCACCAGCAUGGUUUCCUUGAGGGUUCUCGUCUUGAGCUCAGUUCUGAGCCUCAGCCUUGUUCUCACAACGGUGUCAGGCGCUGGUACCUCGACAAGCGCAGAUUUUUUCACUACGAUUAACAAGGAGCUCAAACAAAAAGUGUCAGAAAAAUGUUACAAUGGCGUGGUCUUAGUGGAAAAAUCGGAGAAAGUACCUAACGACCAGGCAAAUGCUUGUAAAGUUGUCAAGACACCCGAUGGGAAAGCGGUAGUCAAGAGUGCGGGUUGUACCGAGGAGGAUUACGGUGCCCUCAAGACACUUGUGUGCAGUAGUCCUGCUGCCUUGACCGGAAGUAUCAUCAUGCUGGUCAUCCUGACUGUCUGUCACCGCGUGUUUUGAAAGUCUUUGAUUCUGACCCCGUGAUAACUGAUAAAAACAUCCAAAAGCUGGAACAAUCAACCGACAACUUUUUUAACAAAUACUAUUUCAAUAUUUUAACAAAAAUCCACUUUCAUCACUGCGUAAUAUAUUACUUAUUUCUGCUUCAAAUGUCUUUAUCUUGUUUGAAUGAGGCACAGAGGCCAUGAAAUCGCAACACGCUCACAUUACAAAAAAGAACCGAAUCAACCGGCCUGCUAUUUUUGACACUUCUCUUUAAAACACAAAUUGAGCAACGAACUUUACAUCAAAUAAACUGUUGCCCAAUCAGUGGCGACACUCAAAUCAC
Molecule: long non-coding RNA, 933 nt
Organism: Aplysia californica (California sea hare)
Lineage: Eukaryota; Metazoa; Mollusca; Gastropoda; Aplysiida; Aplysiidae
Exons: 2
Source: RefSeq, a predicted model, not a curated record